RNAcentral lists this small nuclear RNA (119 nucleotides) under Staphylococcus aureus. RNAcentral describes it as "SAUSA300s280". Lineage: Bacteria; Bacillati; Bacillota; Bacilli; Caryophanales; Staphylococcaceae. RNAcentral also lists the same sequence under 1 other name. The record is from RNAcentral.
ACUGAUGAUUUAAAAGAAGAAGGCUAUAUCGCUCAUAUUUUAGGUGUAAAUGCUGAAGAAGGCGAUGAAAUUACUGAGUAUUUAAAUGAAGUCAUUCAUUAAAGAUAAAAACCCCUAAC